GUUCUUGUAGUUGAAAUACAACGGUGGUUUUUCAAGCCAUUGGUCCUGGUUAAAUUCCUGGCAGGAACU
RNAcentral lists this transfer RNA (69 nucleotides) under Heniochus chrysostomus (threeband pennantfish). RNAcentral describes it as "tRNA-Glu". It matches the Rfam family "tRNA". From Rfam's summary of the family: Transfer RNA (tRNA) molecules are approximately 80 nucleotides in length. Lineage: Eukaryota; Metazoa; Chordata; Actinopteri; Chaetodontiformes; Chaetodontidae. The record is from RNAcentral. RNAcentral also lists the same sequence under 1 other name.